This 253-nucleotide ribosomal RNA is filed under the name uncultured bacterium. Its description in RNAcentral is "partial 16S ribosomal RNA". It matches the Rfam family "Bacterial small subunit ribosomal RNA", at positions 524 to 776 of the family's 1533-position model. The record is from RNAcentral.
UACGUAGGGAGCGAGCGUUAUCCGGAAUUAUUGGGUGUAAAGGGUGCGUAGACGGGAAAGCAAGUUAGUUGUGAAAUCCCUCGGCUUAACUGAGGAACUGCAACUAAAACUACUUUUCUUGAGUGCAGGAGAGGUAAGUGGAAUUCCUAGUGUAGCGGUGAAAUGCGUAGAUAUAUGGAGGAACACCGGUGGCGAAAGCGGCUCUCUGGCCUGUAACUGACACUGAGGCUCGAAAGCGUGGGGAGCAAACAGG